RNAcentral lists this ribosomal RNA (1341 nucleotides) under uncultured bacterium. RNAcentral's name for it is "partial 16S ribosomal RNA". It matches the Rfam family "Bacterial small subunit ribosomal RNA", at positions 28 to 1381 of the family's 1533-position model. The record is from RNAcentral.
GACGAACGCUGGCGGCGUGCUUAACACAUGCAAGUCGAACGGUAAGGCUCCAGCUUGCUGGGGUACACGAGUGGCGAACGGGUGAGUAACACGUGGGUGACCUGCCCUGCACUUCGGGAUAAGCCUGGGAAACUGGGUCUAAUACCGGAUAGGACCGCACCGUGAGGGUGUGGUGGAAAGUUUUUUCGGUGUGGGAUGGGCCCGCGGCCUAUCAGCUUGUUGGUGGGGUAAUGGCCUACCAAGGCGGCGACGGGUAGCCGGCCUGAGAGGGUGGACGGCCACAUUGGGACUGAGACACGGCCCAGACUCCUACGGGAGGCAGCAGUGGGGAAUAUUGCACAAUGGGCGGAAGCCUGAUGCAGCGACGCCGCGUGGGGGAUGACGGCCUUCGGGUUGUAAACUCCUUUCACCAUCGACGAAGGGUUUCUGACGGUAGAUGGAGAAGAAGCACCGGCUAACUACGUGCCAGCAGCCGCGGUAAUACGUAGGGUGCGAGCGUUGUCUGGAAUUACUGGGCGUAAAGAGCUCGUAGGUGGUUUGUCGCGUCGUCUGUGAAAUUCCGGGGCUUAACUCCGGGCGUGCAGGCGAUACGGGCAUAACUUGAGUACUGUAGGGGAGACUGGAAUUCCUGGUGUAGCGGUGAAAUGCGCAGAUAUCAGGAGGAACACCGGUGGCGAAGGCGGGUCUCUGGGCAGUAACUGACGCUGAGGAGCGAAAGCAUGGGGAGCGAACUGGAUUAGAUACCCUGGUAGUCCAUGCCGUAAACGGUGGGCGCUAGGUGUGGGUUUCCUUCCACGGGAUCCGUGCCGUAGCUAACGCAUUAAGCGCCCCGCCUGGGGAGUACGGCCGCAAGGCUAAAACUCAAAGGAAUUGACGGGGGCCCGCACAAGCGGCGGAGCAUGUGGAUUAAUUCGAUGCAACGCGAAGAACCUUACCUGGGCUUGACAUAUACAGGAUCGCGCCAGAGAUGGUGUUUCCCUUGUGGCUCGUAUACAGGUGGUGCAUGGUUGUCGUCAGCUCGUGUCGUGAGAUGUUGGGUUAAGUCCCGCAACGAGCGCAACCCUUGUCUUAUGUUGCCAGCACGUUGUGGUGGGGACUCGUAAGAAACUGCCGGGGUUAACUCGGAGGAAGGUGGGGAUGACGUCAAAUCAUCAUGCCCCUUAUGUCCAGGGCUUCACACAUGCUACAAUGGUCGGUACAGUGGGUUGCCAGUCCGUGAGGGCGAGCUAAUCCCGCAAAGCCGGUCUCAGUUCGGAUCGGGGUCUGCAACUCGACCCCGUGAAGUCGGAGUCGCUAGUAAUCGCAGAUCAGCAACGCUGCGGUGAGUACGAUCCCGGGCCU